Molecule: transfer RNA, 84 nt
Filed under: Trichomanes radicans
Lineage: Eukaryota; Viridiplantae; Streptophyta; Polypodiopsida; Hymenophyllales; Hymenophyllaceae
Also listed under: 6 other names
Description: Vandenboschia radicans tRNA-Ser
Rfam family: tRNA
About the family: Transfer RNA (tRNA) molecules are approximately 80 nucleotides in length. Their secondary structure includes four short double-helical elements and three loops (D, anti-codon, and T loops).
Source: RNAcentral
GGAGAGAUGGUCGAGUGGUUUAUGGCUCCAGUCUUGAAAACUGGCAUAGUUUAUCUAUCGAGGGUUCGAAUCCCUCUCUCUCCU